UAAAGGGGUCGAGCCAAAAUACACUUGAAACCCUAAAACACAAUAUAUCUAAAAGGAGAUUUCUCCGCGUUAACUCCAUUUCCAGUCCUGUUAAGGAAAACAAAUCUACAGGGUGAGCAAAACGCUCGUGAGGCCAAGAACACACAUGCAAGCACUUUGUUCAAAUAGCAAUCCCAAAUUCAUUAAACAAAACCAGGAUAUUUCAUUAGUCAAUCAUUCGAGCCGGAAAAGUAAAUCAGAAACAAUUCAAUGAUAUAGUAGCUCUCAGGAGCUAAGUUCCACUCGCUCUGUCGAUGUCAUUCGUAUACUUUCCCGCAUUGACCCUCCUGUCAACCGGGUUGGUAUUUCCAUUUCCGUAGAUCACCACUUACUUCCCUCCGUCCACCGUACACCCCAAGGGCCCACAAGUCUAUUUUUAGGGCGAUACUCGAUGAGUAUGCCAAGCAAGACCUCUUAUUAGGUCGAGCUUAUAAUCUCAUGGCUCGCCCAAGUUCCCGACCAAGCCCAUUGCCGGCUCGAGUUCAAGGUCGGCCUAUGAGUUUGGGCGUCCCCCAUUCAUUUGAAAGUCGAGGAGGUUCACUCCAACGACAUAUGUAACCAUUACAUAGCAUUGCAUUUCAUUCAUUCAUUCAAUACAUUUCAUUCAUUCAUUUGAAAUCAGGACGGAUGCGAUAAAGUACACACCCGCCCUUAUUUUUAAAAUCUCUAAUAAUUACCACAAUUAAGCAAGUAUCAAAGAUUCACACACUUGACACUCACCGAGCAAUUUAAUAAAGAUUAUUCGCUGGAGUUCAAGUGUCCACGGUGAGAUCCUCUUGAAGGUCUCCUUGUGUGCCUGGCAGUUAAUGGUGGAUAAUUACUCAAGUAUCUCAAUUAUCAAGUAAGAUUGUACAUUAGUACAAUCUAAGGAAUAUUUCACAAAAAUGAACCUCAAUUACUCGUAAAUCGAGGUUCAACUUGCGUUUUAUUAAGUACAAUAUUAAUUGAGUUUUUAUCAUGAAAAUCGAGGGCAAAACGUUUGAAUAUUACUAAGAGAAUUAAGAGUUUUUGGAAAACUCCUUUGCCUUGAAAUUUGAAAAAUUCAGUUUUGUUAUGAAUCUUUGAAAAUCGUAACUCACUCGGUACAAGUCGAGAAUUGGAAAACUUUAUACCGUUGGAAACCUCUUAGAAAGUACUAUAAGUUCCUAGAAGACACUUUUCCAUGAAUCGAAGUGGAAAGUGCUCAAAAAUGAGCUUGAAGGUACAGAAUUGGUUCACAAGGCAGAAUGAAGUUGGAUUUUGGCCAACUUUGAAAAUUCUGCACGAUUCGUACGUUGCAAACCAGCCUCUGAAAUUUGUCACUCAAGUAGUGUUGCAAGUGAAGUUUAUAACAAAACAAGCGGAUCAAGAAUCGGAGUUUCGAGUACCGAGAUACGGUAGCUCAAAGUUAGGCAAAUUCAAGACUGGAGAAGAAUUUCCAGAUUUGAACCUCCAACACUAGAAAUUUAAUUAGGUAUCGAAACGAACUUGGAUUGAUACCAAAAUUGGCAGUAUUUCGAUACUAUAUGGAAGGUAUCUCUCUGUCAAAUUUCAGGGAGAAAUACCCUCGGGAAGGUGGUCAACUAAUCACCCAAAGUUCCGGAAAAUUCCUAAGGCAAUCUGCCUUUUGACUUUCAUUUUCCAAAUUCAAAUCGUUUAACCAAGAAAGCUAUCCAACCAUGGUUCAUUUGUGAAAUAAAGGUCUAAGAUACAACCAUGAUACCUUUGGUAAUGGUUUAGCAUCAAAAUUUCAAUUAAUAAGAUUACUCACGGGUUUUUGUCCGAAACCAGUCCAAAUAAUACGUUUUUCCAAAACAGGGCAGUCCUCUUAUUUUGGUCACAACUCAGUCAAUUUAGCUUGGAAUUGAGAGUGGUUUAUGGCGUUGGAAAAUACAUUCAUAGGACUAAAAGUUCACAGAAGAAAGCGUUCCAAAAUUUGGCAAGCAACCAGCUCGAAAUUGAGCCUCAAGUUGCUGCCUCUACAGACCAUUCCAGCAGUUCCGAGAAACAGGACAGUGAUCUUAAAACGUUUGGUCCGGCUCACUCACAAAGAAUCAGAACAUGCAUUUUAUCUCAAAUUAAAGCCUGGGAUGUCUAGUUUCAAACGCCACUGACGGCACAUGAUUUCGACAUCCGAGGACAGAGUUAUAGUCGAAAUACCACAGCUGGUCUGAGCCAUACGGGAACAGUUUCCAGAUUUGCUAGUUUCCCAAAAAAAUUCAUUUGCCCAACCAAACCUUAUUAUUUUUCAAUGAAACUUUUCACACAUCUAAUAUAACAUAUAAGCAUCAGGUUCAUGCCAAUAAUUCACCAAAAAUUGGCCUUAUAGUGGCCGAACAAAACAGGGGUAUUUUCGGAAAUUUUUGCUUCUUGCACCCAAUGAAGUUUCUAUCAAUUACCCACCACUAAUCCAUCAUUUUAACCACUAAACCAACAAUAUAACCACCAUCAAUCAUCAAAUCAGCAACAACCCAAGUGUGGGAAUCCAUAGAGCCCACUUUUCAAAUUUUACACCAAUGUCAAGACACCCAUACACAUGCAAUAGCUUAAAGAUGCAUUUCUACCAUCAUAAUCCAAGUUUAAGGUGUAGGAUGAUGUUAUACCUCCUUGGUGUCUUAAACCAGAAAUUUUCGGUCCUCUAGUGCUCCAAGAAACCGUGAAAAACUCCUCCUUUUGCUAGCUAGAUGAACUCUCCAAGCAACAAGCUAAGUGUAGUUCAAAUUUGGUGUGAAUCUAUGAAGGUUUUGUGCAAGAAUUGAAGAUGAAAAUGGCAACUUUGUGUUGUGUUUUUGCUGCAGAGAAUUCGGCCAAGAGAG
This 2834-nucleotide long non-coding RNA is filed under the name Coffea arabica (coffee). RNAcentral describes it as "long non-coding RNA (CARA_LNC001204)". Lineage: Eukaryota; Viridiplantae; Streptophyta; Magnoliopsida; Gentianales; Rubiaceae. The record is from RNAcentral.